CAAAGCACAUGUCAUCAAAUGCUCUGGGAUUCCUUUUGCCAAACAUUUGCACUAUGGAGGUCCAGGAAGUGUGCAGAGACUUCUUUCCUCCACAUCCGACUGUUUUAACCUUCUUUAACUGCUGCUUUUCAUCAUGAGUGAGCAGUUUCCAGCACUGAGGAGAGAGAGAGAGCACAACAGGACACAAAGGAGGAGGAAGAGAAAAACUGACGCAGAUAAAGAAGAGAGGAUAACUCAACCCAGGAGAAGAAGACUGAAAGGGAGACGUAGUGAUGGCUGAGGCACCUCAGCAGCAGCAGCAGCAGAAGGAGGAAGAGGAGGAGGAGCAGGUGAGCACUUCAGAGUCGACGGAGAGUGAUGAAGGCUCUGAGGAACUGAAGGAGAGUGUCCAGACGACCCCGACCCGACCUAUGCUGUCCAUGAGGUCCAUGAGCUGUGUGGACCCAGACGACGACUCCCCCAACAUGAUCGUCUACAGAAAGAUUGAGGACAUCAUCACUCUCAUCCAGGAUGAGACGGAGGGCGUGCCCAUCAGAACCGUCAAAAGUUUCAUGACCAAGAUCCCCAGUGUCGUCACAGGUACAGAUAUUGUGGCGUGGCUGAUGAAGAACCUGUGCAUGGAGGAUCCAGCAGAGGCCAUGCACAUCGGGAGUCUCAUCGCAGCUCAGGGGUACUUCUUCCCCAUCUCCGACCACGUCCUCUCCCUCAAAGACGACGGCACUUUCUACCGCUUUCAGGCGCCGUAUUUCUGGCCGUCCAACUGUUGGGAGCCUGAGAACACAGACUACGCUAUUUACCUGUGCAAGCGGACCAUGCAGAACAAGACCAGGCUGGAGCUGGCCGAUUACGAGGCGGAGAACUUAGCCAGGCUGCAGAGAGCCUUUGCCAGGAAGUGGGAGUUUAUCUACAUGCAAGCUGAGGCCCAGGUCAAGAUCGACAGGAAAAAGGAUAAAACCGAGAGGAAGAUCCUCGACAGCCAGGAGAGAGCCUUCUGGGACGUCCACAGACCCGUGCCUGGAUGUGUUAACACGACAGAGAUGGACAUCAGGAAAUGUAGACGCAUGAAGAACCCUCAUAGAGUUAAGAAGUCGGUGUACGGUUUGGCGGAGGAGGGAACACAGUCUCAGAGUCCCAUACAUACUCCCUCGCACCACUGCAGGAAAGGCACCAAGGAGGAUGUGGAGAAGGAGAUCUUAUUCCUGAACUCCCAGGUUGAUCGUCACCGUAUGAAGAUGUCUAAAGUUGCUGACAGUCUGAUAAGCUACACUGAGCAGUACAUGGACUAUGACCCGUUUGUGACGGCACAGGAUCCACCAAACCCCUGGAUCAGCGACGACCCCUCCCUCUGGGAUCUGGAGGCCAGUAAGGAGCCCAGUCAAGCGCGGGUGAAGAAGUGGGGUUUCUCUCUGGAGGAGGCCCUGAAGGAUCCAGCAGGACAGGAGCUCUUCCUCAAGUUCGUGGAGUCAGAGUUUAGCUCAGAAAACCUGCGGUUCUGGUUGGCGGUGCAGGACCUGAAGAGGAUGCCCCAGCAGGAAGUGCCGCAGAGGGCGCAGGACAUUUGGACAGAGUUCCUGGCGGAGGGAGCGCCCAGCUCCAUCAACCUGGACUCCCACAGCUACGAACGCACGAGCCAGAACCUGAAAGACCCCGGACGAUACAGCUAUGAGGACGCACAGGACCACAUCUACAAGCUGAUGAAAAGUGACAGCUAUUCACGCUUCCUGCGCUCCAACGUGUACCAGGACCUGCUGAUGGCAAGGAAGAAACCCGAAACGGAGCAGGGGCGACGCACCUCCCUGGAGAAGUUCACUCGCAGUGUGGGCAAGUCACUGACGGGCAAACGACUGACGGGCCUCAUGCAGUCGUCCUGACCAGGCCUGGAUGAAGAGUAGGUGGAACCAUACCCAGAAGAGCUGCUUACCCCCGGGGAGCAGAUGGAAAAGGACCCUGGGGUGUUUGGGUGUGGCUGUGGGAGGCGGAUGAAGGCGCCCAAAGAGCGUAGACCGACGGACUGGACCGCCACCACGUUUGAAACUCACCUCAGAUCAGUUCAAGAGGACUGACAGCAUGCAAUAAGUCACCAGACCUGACACCAGGACAGUGCUGUCACAGUGUAGAGGAUAAACAAUGCUACUCUUCUUCGGAGGUUUCUACUCAAAAAGCCUGCACCACGCCAGGCUUUGUUGUUUCUCUCUUGUUGUUUUUCUCUACUAUCUACACUCAUGUUAAUAUGGUAGCUGACGGGGCUAUCGCUUUACUUUCGGUGAUAUAAACAUGGAAUGCUUGAAUGCAAAUGAGACUUAGAUUAAUGCUGUAGCUAGCUGUUUUAUCUCACUUCAUUCACUGGGAUGAUAUAAGGGAAAGAGGGAUGAAGAGUAAACACGCCGCACUCUUUGAGCUGAACUUCUGCUCAGUCUUCACACUGAUGGUCGUCACACUUCCUGCUUUAAUGGUGGAACAGAUGGAGUAGUAGUACACCAACUUUUUAGCUUUUUGAUCACUCUGCUGAUGUGGGAUGACACAAGAUUCACAACCUCUGUGUGUCCAGUAGUAAUUUAGCUGGUUUACAAUGUAUGUUUAACCUAAUGCCUGUUUUUAUGCUCAUUACAGAAUGAUUAAAACCACAGAUGGCAAUUUGCAUAAUUUCUCCUGUAAACACCAUGACCUGCUCUGGUACAGAAAGACGUUCCUGGAAAGCAGGUAAACAGGAAAUUAUUGUUUUUUAUUAUUUUAGCAGCUGUUUUUGGAGUGUCACAGUUCUGGCAAAAAGAAUAUGUUCUCCAUUUGUUUCUUAGAUUAUCUCACAUGAUCACAGAAAAAUUCUAAUUUCAUGGAUUAUCACUGCCACUGUCUGUUUUUAACAAGCAUUUCUCCAAAGCUUUGCAACAACCGCACUGAACAGACAGAGGUGUGAUCUUGUUGUCAUAAAAGGGUAAGGGCAGUUUGGUAAUUUUACAAAAAAACAAGUGUAUAACUUUAAACGAGCGAGCUGAUAUAAUGUAAGGCUUUAUUCUAUCUUCUGAACAUUCCACUUCAGGCGGUCACAACAAGGUUUUAGUGGGCUGACCAUUCUUCACCUUAUGUAAAGAGGACCAUGGAGCUGCAAAGAAAUUGACCUUUACAUCACACGAAAUGGGGAAAUCGAAAUGUAAUCCAUCAGAUCUCUAAAGUUCACAGUCCACAUCUGUUUCUGUACAGAGAAGGCAGUCAUACCCGGAUAUCCUCCGACGUAGAUGGGGUCGUUGGUGUCACACGUGUUGGAGCGAGCGUUAGGACUCUCUGCUUGGCUCUGCUGCUCAUCGACCACCAGCUCCACCUUGUGGCGAAGCUUCUUGG
RNA transcript from Sebastes umbrosus (honeycomb rockfish), 3336 nucleotides. It is a transcript of the gene named regulator of G-protein signaling 6-like, with no coding region annotated. The record is from RefSeq and is a predicted model, not a curated record. The transcript has 21 exons. Lineage: Eukaryota; Metazoa; Chordata; Actinopteri; Perciformes; Sebastidae.